CCUACGGGAGGCAGCAGUGGGGAAUAUUGGACAAUGGGGGAAACCCUGAUCCAGCGACGCCGCGUGAGGGAAGAAGGCUUUCGGAGUGUAAACCUCUGUCAGUGGGGACGAUAAUGACGGUACCCACGGAGGAAGCCACGGCUAACUACGUGCCAGCAGCCGCGGUAAUACGUAGGUGGCAAGCGUUGUCCGGAAUUACUGGGUGUAAAGGGAGCGUAGGCGGGAUGUCAAGUCCGAAGUGAAAAUUAUGGGCUCAACUCAUGAACUGCUUUUGAAACUGGUAUUCUUGAGUGAAGGAGAGGCAAGCGGAAUGCCUGGUGUAGCGGUGAAAUGCGUAGAUAUUAGGAGGAACACCAGUGGCGAAGGCGGCAUGCUGGGCUUUUACUGACGCUGAGGCUCGAAAGCGUGGGGAGCAAACAGGAUUAGAUACCCGGGUAGUC
RNAcentral lists this ribosomal RNA (440 nucleotides) under uncultured bacterium. RNAcentral's name for it is "partial 16S ribosomal RNA". It matches the Rfam family "Bacterial small subunit ribosomal RNA", at positions 338 to 795 of the family's 1533-position model. The record is from RNAcentral.